RNAcentral lists this non-coding RNA (118 nucleotides) under Chloroflexota bacterium. RNAcentral's name for it is "Chloroflexi bacterium MoCo sequence". It matches the Rfam family "Molybdenum/Tungsten riboswitch aptamer (Moco RNA motif)". Lineage: Bacteria; Bacillati; Chloroflexota. The record is from RNAcentral.
AAUAAUAUAUAUCUCCGAGCUGUUCUCGCCUAAAGCACGUCCAUGGGGGAAUAGCCGACAGGCCUUACGGGAAACUGUAAUACCUCCCUGAUUGGAAAGGAGAAACAUGGCAAAUUCA